UACGAGGGGGGCGAGCGUUGUUCGGAAUUAUUGGGCGUAAAGGGUGCGUAGGCGGUUCCGCAAGUCCUGUGUGAAAUCUUCGGGCUCAACUCGAAGUCUGCACGGGAAACUGCGGGGCUUGAGUGUGGGAGAGGUGAGUGGAAUUCCCGGUGUAGCGGUGGAAUGCGUAGAUAUCGGGAGGAACACCUGUGGCGAAAGCGGCUCACUGGACCAUAACUGACGCUGAUGCACGAAAGCUGGGGGAGCAAACAGG
RNAcentral lists this ribosomal RNA (253 nucleotides) under uncultured bacterium. RNAcentral's name for it is "partial 16S ribosomal RNA". It matches the Rfam family "Bacterial small subunit ribosomal RNA", at positions 524 to 776 of the family's 1533-position model. The record is from RNAcentral.